Molecule: ribosomal RNA, 256 nt
Filed under: uncultured bacterium
Lineage: Bacteria
Description: partial 16S ribosomal RNA
Rfam family: Bacterial small subunit ribosomal RNA
Source: RNAcentral
UACGGGGGAGCAAGCGUUGUUCGGAUUUACUGGGCGUAAAGGGCGCGGUAGGCGGUCAGCACAAGUCAGUUGUGAAAUCUCCGGGCUUAACUCGGAAAGGUCAACUGAAACUGUGCGACUAGAGUGCGGAAGGGGCAACUGGAAUUCUCGGUGUAGCGGUGAAAUGCGUAGAUAUCGAGAGGAACACCUGCGGCGAAGGCGGGUUGCUGGGCUGACACUGACGCUGAUGCGCGAAAGCUAGGGGGAGCGAACGGGG